UAUUUUUUAGGGUAUGAUCAAACGCAAGCUGGCUUUCUUACUUCAGAUCUCUUCUCAAGUUAUGCUUAUAUCUUAUAUUUUACAUCUUCUUCCUUUUGGGGCUAAAAGUUCAGGUCCCAUCUACAAUGGAUCUAUUUGCUAUGUUUAACUGCUAAAAAAAAUGAUAUUUUUAACUACUUUUACUAGUUAUGCCUGUUUAGUCCAUGUUUGUAGACUGUCUCAUACAGCAAAGCCUUCAGAUGAAAACCUUAGAUGAAGUCUUCAAACACUACUGGAACCUAAAGAUAAAGAUUUCUCUUGGAAGAUCAGUUCUAGAUCAUCAAUAACGUGAGCUAUUCUGCUGCAGAAAAGUGUUCAAAGGUCCUUCACAGAGAGAAACAACAGCUGCCACUUACAAGUAACCGCUUGCAUUCGAGGAACUUGGACAUCCACCGAGUGACCACAUUGACCCAGUUGCUGGUACACUUCUGAGUUCAAAACAACCGCGGAGCAUCUGGACUGCUCUUAGUGCUUCCUCCUGGCAGGAGGAAUGGAAAUCUGACAAGUCCCCAUGGAUCUGAGACUUGGGACAAAUGGUAUCAGCUCCAGGGGCUGAACUCAAAGCACACCCAGCUGUACCAGUGCUACGAGCUGUGGCUUUUAGGAGAAAGUUGGUGGUAACGAAAGCAUAUUGUCAUGUCUAGAUGAUCCAUUGGUCUGUGCUUGGUGGUCUCAGGAUAUUUCAACAGUGGCCACGUGCCUGUGGGAAAAAUCAUCACCCCAGUAGUGUUCAUCUGGGGCAGUUGUUUGCACUUGCAAAAGAAAAGAGAAUAACUGCUUGGAGUUGUACCGGUGUCCCUAUCUCAGCGACUGGGUUUUAUUCCUUGUUCUAGGGAUGGUACCAGCAGGCACAGCAUGGAGAGCUGCAAGCAAUGAGGGAAUUUGCAGUGCCUCUGGAGUGAGACCACCAGAAAGUUUGAAAUGGUGGAGCGGUGCCUUCAACUGAAAUAAAGUUUUCACCUCAAAGACCCCCAAAGGGUUUUUUUUCCUCACCCUAGUACGAGCUCUGUUCUUUGCUGAGUCCCAGCUGAAUUCAGACCAGGAUGGGGAGCGAUGCUCCAGUGUUCCUUGUCUUCUGCUAUGAUUUGUAAAGACUUUAUGCCAACCCUCUAUGUUACUGGCACACUAAAAAAUAAAUGAAUAUAAUUCUCCAAUAUUACCAUCAGUUACCUUUCCUGGAGAUGUUUUUGGCACAUUUUUUUUUUGGUCAAAUUCCUUGGUAAACCUUCAUUCCUCUAUAACGGAUCACAACUUCCAUGCAUUUGUUUCACAAGACCCCAUAGCAUUGUGGUUCACUUCAGUAAUUAUUUACAGUCUCUGUGUUGGAAACUCAGUUUUACCAUGAAAUUUUCAGGCAAAUGAGUCAAAACUGGGUGCAUGCAGCCAUACUUAGGCUUUCUGAGAAAUGUGAUCUCAUUCAGAGAAGUGUCAAGAAUUUUUCUGUGUCAAAGGAAAGCAGAGGUGCUCAGCACCUUUGAAAUACUUUCAAACUCAAGUGUCUAAAUAUAGAUUUAAAAGCCUAAUUUGACAACCUGGUUUUAAAAUGUUGGUCUAGAAAAUUCUGUGGUUUAUGUUUUCUUCCACUUGCAUAUCUACAGAAUUUAAAAGGUCUGGGGCAAUGAACUAUGAAAUACUUGUGACUAUUACAUCUCACAAGCAGUUGCAUUUCAGUAGGGAAUUAGUGGUAAAGACAGUAGAGACUUUUGUUCAAAUUAGGUAAGUGUCAGUUAGAUGAUGGCUCAUUUCCCUUGAGGAGGUUCUAAAUAAUAACAAUAAAUCAUUUUAAAUAUCCUCUAUGUGUAAAAAUCCCAUGAAUUCCUUCAAGACGCAAACUAUGUUUUUACUUUUAUUGCAUAAUAAGUCUAGAGUAAACAAAUAUGUACUAAAAUAUACACAUCCCUUAUGCCAUUUUCUUUAAAACCAGAGAACAUUAAUUUGGUUAGAAGUCAUUUAACCAAGAUUUCUGAUGAACUUUCACUGACUUAUAGGAAUUUACAUUAUGAAUUUGGUUUAACAUCUUGUCUGUUUUUGUUGGGAAAUACUCAGAAAAGCAGUGGGAUCAUCUGGGACAACAAACCCCAAAUCUCUCAAUGUUGUCACUCUCCUAAAAAGCAACAGAUUGCACAAAAGAAUGUUUUGCUCACGAUGUUGGUUUUCGAUUACAGACUGUGUUUUUUUCUGUAUUUGAGUAAUAAAUUGAAAGAAAUGUAGCAAAUUUACCAGUUGCUUAUUGAAAUCUCAUUUAAAAGGUUUUACUUGUCAUUUAUUUCUACUCAAUUAUUCUUUUAUAUGGUCAUAUUACCAGUAGGAAGUUAAAAAGAAAAAAAUUUAUCUCAUGCAUAAAUUUAAUGAUGUCAUUUUUAGGAUCAUCGAUACCUUUUAACAAGCAGUUUUAAAAAUAACCAUGACUUUCAUUGCUGGUGUGAGUUUUCACCACAUACCUGCUGAGCUUCUGAGCAUCUGCAUUAUCUUUAGUAAAAUGACAUGUUUUCCCAGGCUCAGAUAUUUUAAGACAUAUUAAGACGUAAUUUACAAUUUACAUCACUCUUUCCAAACAAACUGUCCCAUGGAAAGUCCCCAGCUGCAAAGGUUUCACCAAAAAGAAAAAAAAAAAAAAGUGAUGAACUGGUAUUUGGCAACAAACCUGACAGACCAUUGUAAAAAUUAAACUCAAGAGGAAAAGGGUGGGGGGUGUCCAGUUUAAAAAAAAAAUAACCAGCUUAUAUUGCCCCUCCCUGUAAGCCUACGAUUUCGCUGCACAACCAGUUCUGUUCUCAAAAG
This is a long non-coding RNA of Cygnus atratus (black swan), 2820 nucleotides long. RefSeq lists it as uncharacterized. Lineage: Eukaryota; Metazoa; Chordata; Aves; Anseriformes; Anatidae. The transcript is spliced from 3 exons. The record is from RefSeq and is a predicted model, not a curated record.